AGAUUGGGUUUCACCAUAUUGCCCAGGCUGGUCUUGAACACCUGAGCUCGAGCAGUCCGCUUCCCUCAGCCUCCCAAAGUGCUGGGAUUACAGGUGCCAGCCACUGUGCCCAGUCCAACAUGCUGUUCUUUCUAAAUUCCAAAAUUCAUGUUCAUUUUGCUACAUCACAUUCAAAUUGCUUCUUAAUGAAGAGGAUAACUCAGAAUCAUCGGCUAUAGAGCAGCCAUCUACUUCAAACCCAGCACCGCAGAUUGUGCAGGCUGCGUCUUCAGCACCAGCACUUGAAACUGACUCUUCCCCUCCACCGUAUAGCAGUAUUACUGUGGAAGUACCUACAACUUCAG
This 344-nucleotide small RNA is filed under the name Pan troglodytes (chimpanzee). RNAcentral describes it as "processed transcript". The record is from RNAcentral. Lineage: Eukaryota; Metazoa; Chordata; Mammalia; Primates; Hominidae.